This 83-nucleotide transfer RNA is filed under the name Canis lupus familiaris (dog). It matches the Rfam family "tRNA". Rfam says of the family: Transfer RNA (tRNA) molecules are approximately 80 nucleotides in length. Their secondary structure includes four short double-helical elements and three loops (D, anti-codon, and T loops). RNAcentral also lists the same sequence under 1 other name. The record is from Rfam by way of RNAcentral. Lineage: Eukaryota; Metazoa; Chordata; Mammalia; Carnivora; Canidae.
GCCUGGUUGGCUCAGUGGUUGAGCGUCUGCCUUCGGCUCAGGUCAUGAUCCUGGAGUCCUGGGGUCAAGCCCCACAUCAGGCU